UACGAAGGGGGCUAGCGUUGUUCGGAAUUACUGGGCGUAAAGGGCGCGUAGGCGGCGUGUCAAGUCAGGCGUGAAAGCCCCGGGCUCAACCUGGGAACCGCGCUUGAGACUGGCAUGCUCGAGUUCGGGAGAGGAUGGUGGAAUUCCCAGUGUAGAGGUGAAAUUCGUAGAUAUUGGAAAGAACACCGGUGGCGAAGGCGGCCAUCUGGACCGCAACUGACGCUGAGGCGCGAAAGCGUGGGGAGCAAACAGG
RNAcentral lists this ribosomal RNA (253 nucleotides) under uncultured bacterium. Its description in RNAcentral is "partial 16S ribosomal RNA". It matches the Rfam family "Bacterial small subunit ribosomal RNA", at positions 524 to 776 of the family's 1533-position model. The record is from RNAcentral.